ACGGAAGGCUGGAUGGCUGCGGUUCUUAAUUGGGCCGAGGAAAGUCCGGACUCCAUGAAGCAACGGUGCCGGGUAACGCCCGGCCAGGGUAACCUGAGGGAUAGCGCCACAGAGAAGAAACCGCUUUUGUUUCGACUUAAGUAAGGGUGAAACGGUGCGGUAAGAGCGCACCGCGGGACGGGUAACCGGACCGGCACGGCAAGCCCCACCGGGAGCAAUGCCAAAUAGGGAUGCUGCGCGCGUGUGAUCGAGCAAUCGAUAUCCGCGCAGGGAAGCUUUAGCCUGAGGCAUCCGGGUUGGCAGCUAGAGGCGCUGGGGUAAUCCAGUGCUAAGAUGAAUGGUCAUCUAUUUGCGGCUCGAGAGGGCCGCAUUGGACAAAAUCCGGCUUAUAGGCCCUCCGUACGC
RNAcentral lists this RNase P RNA (405 nucleotides) under Planktotalea frisia. RNAcentral's name for it is "Rhodobacteraceae bacterium SH6-1 Bacterial RNase P class A". It matches the Rfam family "Bacterial RNase P class A". Rfam says of the family: Ribonuclease P (RNase P) is a ubiquitous endoribonuclease, found in archaea, bacteria and eukarya as well as chloroplasts and mitochondria. Its best characterised activity is the generation of mature 5'-ends of tRNAs by cleaving the 5'-leader elements of precursor-tRNAs. Cellular RNase Ps are ribonucleoproteins. The record is from Rfam by way of RNAcentral. Lineage: Bacteria; Pseudomonadati; Pseudomonadota; Alphaproteobacteria; Rhodobacterales; Paracoccaceae.